GUGGGCUCCUCCCCCUGCGAUGGGAGCAUCCCCUCCGCCGGGGCUGCGUCGGUCUGUCCCGUCUGGGUCUGUCGGUCCGCAGAGCCGUGCAGAGGGAUCCCCUCGCAGCACCAGGUGGCACUCUCGGACUUCAAACCGAGCCGGGACAACGCAGCCGACCGCCGCAGACGCGCGUGGGAGCGUGCGGGGCCGCGCCGGGUCCCCACACCCGGCCGGGGGGCAGCGGGGAUGGAACGAUGGGCACAGCCACGUGUGCCACGUGUGCGUGGGCCGCAAAGGCCCUCCGUCCGUCCUCCCACCACUCAGCCAAAAUGGAGCUCGCACCCGCCGCGGUCCCCGCGCUCCGCAGGCGCUGAAGCACGGGUUGUGCACCCACGUGUCGCUUAACUGUCCCGAGGAUGCGUGACUGAGCGGGAUUGCUAUGCUCCGGCCGGCCCUGGGUUUUCCAGAAGCAGAGCAGCCACUGGUGGCUUUGGGAGAAGCCAGGCAGAGAUGGGAGCAAACGGAGCAGGAAUGCCUGGAGAAGGUUGAGAUGCGGCACCCGCAGAGGUGGGAGUAGCCCCAUGGAGCCACACUGCCACUGUCCUGCAGGAGACAUCAGUGCUUCCCCUCUGCCGUGCCCAACCUUCACAGGACCCCUGUGCUUCAGCUUCCUCCUCUUCUUUCUCUCGUGUUCAUCAUUCAUGUGCACACUGCAUUUCCUUUCUGCUUUCUCCCUUUUCUGUUCCUUGGAGAAGGCCCUCUGUGUUUCACCACCCUGAUGGGGCAGACAGGUUUUGUUCGAGUUGGUUUCAAUUGAACAUUUUGUGUGAAUGAGCUCUUCUCGCUUCUCCCUCUGUGCUCUCAGGUUCCCUUAUUAAACAGUUCUCUG
This is a long non-coding RNA of Gallus gallus (chicken), 871 nucleotides long. NCBI's taxonomy places the organism in Eukaryota, Metazoa, Chordata, Aves, Galliformes, Phasianidae. The record is from Ensembl.